RNAcentral lists this ribosomal RNA (895 nucleotides) under uncultured Actinomycetales bacterium. RNAcentral's name for it is "bacterial SSU rRNA". It matches the Rfam family "Bacterial small subunit ribosomal RNA", at positions 8 to 916 of the family's 1533-position model. Lineage: Bacteria; Bacillati; Actinomycetota; Actinomycetes; Actinomycetales. The record is from RNAcentral.
AGAGUUUGAUCCUGGCUCAGGACGAACGCUGGCGGCGUGCUUAACACAUGCAAGUCGAACGGUAAGGCCCUUUCGGGGGUACACGAGUGGCGAACGGGUGAGUAACACGUGGGUGAUCUGCCCUGCACUUCGGGAUAAGCUUGGGAAACUGGGUCUAAUACCGGAUAUGACCGCAUGCUGCAUGGUGUGUGGUGGAAAGCUUUUGCGGUGUGGGAUGGGCCCGCGGCCUAUCAGCUUGUUGGUGGGGUGAUGGCCUACCAAGGCGACGACGGGUAGCCGGCCUGAGAGGGUGUCCGGCCACACUGGGACUGAGAUACGGCCCAGACUCCUACGGGAGGCAGCAGUGGGGAAUAUUGCACAAUGGGCGCAAGCCUGAUGCAGCGACGCCGCGUGAGGGAUGACGGCCUUCGGGUUGUAAACCUCUUUCAGUAGGGACGAAGCGUAAGUGACGGUACCUACAGAAGAAGCACCGGCCAACUACGUGCCAGCAGCCGCGGUAAUACGUAGGGUGCGAGCGUUGUCCGGAAUUACUGGGCGUAAAGAGCUCGUAGGUGGUUUGUCGCGUUGUUCGUGAAAACCAGCAGCUUAACUGCUGGCGUGCGGGCGAUACGGGCAGACUGGAGUACUGCAGGGGAGACUGGAAUUCCUGGUGUAGCGGUGGAAUGCGCAGAUAUCAGGAGGAACACCGGUGGCGAAGGCGGGUCUCUGGGCAGUAACUGACGCUGAGGAGCGAAAGCGUGGGGAGCGAACAGGAUUAGAUACCCUGGUAGUCCACGCCGUAAACGGUGGGUACUAGGUGUGGGUUUCCUUCCUUGGGAUCCGUGCCGUAGCUAACGCAUUAAGUACCCCGCCUGGGGAGUACGGCCGCAAGGCUAAAACUCAAAGGAAUUGACGG